Molecule: non-coding RNA, 890 nt
Organism: Macaca mulatta (Rhesus monkey)
Lineage: Eukaryota; Metazoa; Chordata; Mammalia; Primates; Cercopithecidae
Source: RefSeq, a predicted model, not a curated record
CCUUCUCGCCCCUCCCCUGGCUUCCCCACCCCUUCCAGCUCUGCUCUGGCUGAGGUUAUGGAAAUACAUAAAUAACACUUGAGCCUUGAUCACCACCUGGAGUUGGAGGAGACACAGCAGGACACAUUCAUGAUAAGAAUCUGAAACAGAGCCUGUCAGGAGCUUACCAUCUAAUCCUUCACUGCCUGAGAGGAGAUGAGAGCUGCUAUUCCCACUUUAAAGAUGAAGACAUUGAGCCUAGCAGAGAUUGAGAAAAAACAAUCACACAACUAGGAAAUGGCAGCAUAACAACAAAAAUCCAGGUGAAAUCCAUUUGUGGACUUUUCUUCAUGCGGCAGGAUAUCCUGGCCCACAGUCACAUCCCACUAGGUCUCCUCUGCUCAAGCCGCUCUACGGAUGCAAGUCCGUGGACUGAGUCCAGCGCUCCAGAAACCUUUCUGUGGGUGAUUGUACAGUCCCACAUCUCCCCAUUGGAAAUGUAGCAAUACCCGGAAGGGGCAAGGGCAGAGGAAUUUGCCUGCAGUGCUGCAAGAGUGUACGCUGGUAUGAUGUCUGGUGAGUCUCCAUAAAGGCAAAGGUGCUCAUGGCCCAAUCAGCUCACCUGCAGCCUCUGCCCUGGAGAAAGCCAGCGCACAGGCAUGGGGUGGCCGACCCAGGAGUGUUGUCUGCACCACGACUGCACGAGCAGAACGCUGCCCAUCAGCAGUAGAUCAGGACUGGAUGGAGAGGAUACCAGUGACAUAGAGUGCUCUGGAGAUUCCCAUUUAUCCGCCUUGACAGAGCUUGUAAAGUGUAAUGUGAAGAAAAGGAGCACGUCCUGGGACAAUAUGAACGGUAUCACAUCAUUUACAGAAAGCUUAAAAACCAAUAAAAUGAGGCCUUAAAACGUU